Molecule: ribosomal RNA, 433 nt
Filed under: uncultured bacterium
Lineage: Bacteria
Description: partial 16S ribosomal RNA
Rfam family: Bacterial small subunit ribosomal RNA
Source: RNAcentral
AACGAACGCUGGCGGCAUGCCUAACACAUGCAAGUCGAACGAGACCUUCGGGUCUAGUGGCGCACGGGUGCGUAACGCGUGGGAACCUGCCCUUAGGUUCGGAAUAACUCCCCGAAAGGGGUGCUAAUACCGGAUAAUGUCUUCGGACCAAAGAUUUAUCGCCUUUGGAUGGGCCUGCGUUGGAUUAGCUAGUUGGUAGGGUAAAAGCCUACCAAGGCGACGAUCCAUAGCUGGUCUGAGAGGAUGAUCAGCCACACUGGGACUGAGACACGGCCCAGACUCCUACGGGAGGCAGCAGUGGGGAAUAUUGGACAAUGGGCGAAAGCCUGAUCCAGCAAUGCCGCGUGAGUGAUGAAGGCCUUAGGGUUGUAAAGCUCUUUUACCCGGGAUGAUAAUGACAGUACCGGGAGAAUAAGCACCGGCUAACUCCGUG